RNAcentral lists this ribosomal RNA (1122 nucleotides) under Triticum aestivum (bread wheat). RNAcentral describes it as "partial small subunit ribosomal RNA". The record is from RNAcentral. Lineage: Eukaryota; Viridiplantae; Streptophyta; Magnoliopsida; Poales; Poaceae.
AUGGCGGCGCCCUCCUCUUCAGCCGGGUUCGGGGGCAUGUCGUCGGACAACGCCAAGGGCCUGGCCCUCGCGGUGUCGUCCAGCGCCUUCAUCGGCGCCAGCUUCAUCGUCAAGAAGAUGGGGCUCAGGAGGGCCGCAGACUCCGGCGUCCGCGCGGGUUAUGGAGGGUAUUCUUACUUAGUGGAGCCACUUUGGUGGAUAGGCAUGAUUUCUAUGAUUGUUGGCGAAAUAGCUAACUUUGCUGCUUAUGCAUUUGCUCCUGCUAUUCUUGUCACUCCUCUUGGAGCACUCAGUAUAAUCAUCAGUGCUGCACUUGCUCAUUCCAUUCUACAGGAGAAACUGCACACCUUUGGUAUACUUGGUUGUGUUCUUUGUGUAGUCGGAUCGAUCACAAUUGCACUCCAUGCUCCCCAAGAGCGUGAUAUUGAUUCUGUAAGGGAAGUUUGGGAUCUUGCAACUGAGCCAGCUUUUCUUUCAUAUGCGACUAUAGUAGUGGUGGCAGCCUUGGUUCUUAUAUAUUUUGUUGUCCCUCAACAUGGACAAACAAACAUCAUGGUGUACAUUGGAGUCUGUUCUCUUCUAGGAUCUCUCACCGUUAUGAGUGUAAAGGCCCUCGGAAUUGCAUUGAAGUUAACAUUCUCAGGAGUGAACCAAUUAUUCUAUCCUCAGACCUGGGCUUUUGCUCUAAUUGUUGCUACCUGCGUAAGCACCCAGAUAAACUAUCUAAACAAGGCACUGGACACCUUUAAUACAGCAGUUGUUUCACCAAUAUAUUACGUGAUGUUUACCUCGCUAACAAUUAUAGCCAGUGUGAUAAUGUUCAAGGAUUGGGAUCGGCAAAAUCCAACCCAGAUUGUCACGGAAAUGUGUGGUUUUGUGACCAUCCUUUCUGGAACAUUUCUCCUUCACAAGACGAAGGACAUGAAUGACAGUACUGGGCCGACUUUGUCUACACGACGCUCAAAGCAUGCUAGUCAGACCGCAUUUGCCAUCGAGGUUCUUCCACUAAAAUAUCAAGAUUGUGUGGAUGACGAGACCUUGCCAUUAUCACUUCCCAAGGCUGAUAAUCACUACCUAAUGCAAGAGCUUCCUCUUAGAUACAAAGACUUGAAUAUUGCCUGA